AAACUGGCAUAACACCCUCCUCCAAAAUAAUCUGGUGCUCAUACACAUCAACUGGAAUUCCUUUCAAAUCCGCAUAUGACCCUACAAAGGAAGAUUUAUGACGGACGAAAAACUGUUUCCAAGCAUCCAAUUCUAUAUCGAUAAUAUCGGCAUAUAUUUUAAUUAGCUGUGGUGUUUCGUUGGUGCCCAGGUUAAUGGAUUGACACACAGGGUCUUCAACAACCUCUGAUUUAA
RNAcentral lists this long non-coding RNA (234 nucleotides) under Physcomitrium patens. Its description in RNAcentral is "long non-coding RNA (PPAT_LNC007325)". Lineage: Eukaryota; Viridiplantae; Streptophyta; Bryopsida; Funariales; Funariaceae. The record is from RNAcentral.